Molecule: ribosomal RNA, 253 nt
Filed under: uncultured bacterium
Lineage: Bacteria
Description: partial 16S ribosomal RNA
Rfam family: Bacterial small subunit ribosomal RNA
Source: RNAcentral
UACGUAGGUGGCGAGCGUUGUCCGGAUUUACUGGGCGUAAAGAGCGCGCAGGCGGUCGGAUUAGUCGAGUGUGAAAGCCCCCGGCUCAACUGGGGAGGGUCACUCGAUACUGUUCGACUUGAAGACGGGAGAGGGACGCGGAAUUCCCGGUGUAGUGGUGAAAUGCGUAGAUAUCGGGAGGAACACCAGUGGCGAAGGCGGCGUUCUGGCCCGCUCUUGACGCUGAGGCGCGAAAGCCAGGGGAGCAAACGGG